This 408-nucleotide ribosomal RNA is filed under the name uncultured bacterium. RNAcentral's name for it is "bacterial SSU rRNA". It matches the Rfam family "Bacterial small subunit ribosomal RNA", at positions 505 to 916 of the family's 1533-position model. The record is from RNAcentral.
GUGCCAGCCGCCGCGGUAAGACGUAAGGGGCGAGCGUUGUCCGGAAUUACUGGGCGUAAAGGGCACGCAGGCGGUACACCAAGUCGGGGGUGUAAAGUUACGGCUCAACCGUGACCUUGCAAUCGAUACUGGCGUACUGGAGUGCGGGAGAGGGAAGUGGAAUUCCCGGUGUAGCGGUGAAAUGCGUAGAUAUCGGGAGGAACGCCAGUGGCGAAGGCGGCUUCCUGGCCCGCGACUGACGCUCAUGUACGAAAGCCAGGGGAGCGAACCGGAUUAGAUACCCGGGUAGUCCUGGCCGUACGAUGGGUGCUAGGUGUAGGCGCGUCAAGCGUCUGUGCCGCAGUUAACACGAUAAGCACCUCGCCUGGGGAGUACGGUCGCAAGGCUGAAACUUAAAUGAAUUGGCGG